Molecule: ribosomal RNA, 750 nt
Filed under: Streptomyces sp. 552(2010)
Lineage: Bacteria; Bacillati; Actinomycetota; Actinomycetes; Kitasatosporales; Streptomycetaceae
Description: bacterial SSU rRNA
Rfam family: Bacterial small subunit ribosomal RNA
Source: RNAcentral
GGGGAUUAGUGGCGAACGGGUGAGUUAACACGGUGGGCAAUCUGCCCUGCACUCUGGGACAAGCCCUGGAAACGGGGUCUAAUACCGGAUAUGACUGUCCAUCGCAUGGUGGAUGGUGUAAAGCUCCGGCGGUGCAGGAUGAGCCCGCGGCCUAUCAGCUUGUUGGUGAGGUAGUGGCUCACCAAGGCGACGACGGGUAGCCGGCCUGAGAGGGCGACCGGCCACACUGGGACUGAGACACGGCCCAGACUCCUACGGGAGGCAGCAGUGGGGAAUAUUGCACAAUGGGCGAAAGCCUGAUGCAGCGACGCCGCGUGAGGGAUGACGGCCUUCGGGUUGUAAACCUCUUUCAGCAGGGAAGAAGCGAAAGUGACGGUACCUGCAGAAGAAGCGCCGGCUAACUACGUGCCAGCAGCCGCGGUAAUACGUAGGGCGCAAGCGUUGUCCGGAAUUAUUGGGCGUAAAGAGCUCGUAGGCGGCUUGUCACGUCGGUUGUGAAAGCCCGGGGCUUAACCCCGGGUCUGCAGUCGAUACGGGCAGGCUAGAGUUCGGUAGGGGAGAUCGGAAUUCCUGGUGUAGCGGUGAAAUGCGCAGAUAUCAGGAGGAACACCGGUGGCGAAGGCGGAUCUCUGGGCCGAUACUGACGCUGAGGAGCGAAAGCGUGGGGAGCGAACAGGAUUAGAUACCCUGGUAGUCCACGCCGUAAACGGUGGGCACUAGGUGUGGGCAACAUUCCACGUUGUCCGUGCC